Molecule: small RNA, 940 nt
Filed under: Pongo abelii (Sumatran orangutan)
Lineage: Eukaryota; Metazoa; Chordata; Mammalia; Primates; Hominidae
Description: retained intron
Source: RNAcentral
AGGACUGUGUCCGUGGGGGGCGUGGUGAAGAGUGUGGCCUGGAACCCCAGCCCUGCUGUCUGCCUGGUGGCAGCGGCCGUGUAAGUGGAGGCCCUGGGGGCUGGGGAGGCAGGGGUGGCACUGUGCUUAGGGGCUGUGUCUGGGCCUGGCUCACAGGGAGGACUCAGUGCUGCUGCUGAACCCAGCUCUGGGGGACCGGCUGGUGGCGGGCAGCACAGAUCAGCUGUUGAGUGCCUUCGUCCCGCCUGAGGAGCCCCCCUUGCAGCCGGCCCGCUGGCUGGAGGCCUCAAAGGAGGAGCGCCAAGUGGGCCUGCGGCUGCGCAUCUGCCACGGCAAGGUGCGUGGGGUGCAUUGGGGGUGAGGCUGCAGUGGGAGGGGCCUGGCUCAGCCAAUCAGCCAGCCUUGCUCUCCUGCAGCCAGUGACACAGGUGACCUGGCACGGGCGUGGGGACUACCUGGCGGUGGUGCUGGCCACCCAAGGCCACACCCAGGUGCUGAUUCACCAGCUGAGCCGUCGCCGCAGCCAGAGCCCGUUCCGCCGCAGCCACGGACAGGUGCAGCGAGUGGCCUUCCACCCUGCCCGGCCCUUCUUGUUGGUGGCGUCCCAGCGCAGCGUCCGCCUCUACCACCUGCUGCGCCAGGAGCUCACCAAGAAGCUGAUGCCCAACUGCAAGUGGGUGUCCAGCCUGGCGGUGCACCCUGCAGCAGGUGAGGGGUGGUGGGGGCGGUGCACCCUGCAGGUGAGGGGUGGUGGGCGGUGCACCCUGCAGGUGAGGGGUGGUGGGGGCGGUGCACCCUGCAGGUGAGGGGUAUAGGUGACGGGCAGGGCGGUGCACCCUGCAGGUGAGAGCGGGAACACCUGCAUCACAGCCUUUGGCCCUAGGUGACAACGUCAUCUGUGGGAGCUACGAUAGCAAGCUUGUGUGGUUUGACCUGGAUC